GUAACACGUAAAGAACCUGCCCUCAGGUCUGGGAUAACCACGAGAAAUCGGGGCUAAUACCGGAUGGGUCAUCGGACCGCAUGGUCCGAGGAUGAAAGGCGCUUCGGCGUCGCCUGGGGAUGGCUUUGCGGUGCAUUAGCUAGUUGGUGGGGUAAUGGCCCACCAAGGCGACGAUGCAUAGCCGACCUGAGAGGGUGAUCGGCCACACUGGGACUGAGACACGGCCCAGACUCCUACGGGAGGCAGCAGUAGGGAAUCUUCCACAAUGGACGAAAGUCUGAUGGAGCAACGCCGCGUGAACGAUGAAGGCCUUCGGGUCGUAAAGUUCUGUUGUAAGGGAAGAACAAGUGCCGCAGGCAAUGGCGGCACCUUGACGGUACCUUGCGAGAAAGCCACGGCUAACUACGUGCCAGCAGCCGCGGUAAUACGUAGGUGGCAAGCGUUGUCCGGAAUUAUUGGGCGUAAAGCGCGCGCAGGCGGCCUCUUAAGUCUGAUGUGAAAGCCCCCGGCUCAACCGGGGAGGGCCAUUGGAAACUGGGAGGCUUGAGUAUAGGAGAGAAGAGUGGAAUUCCACGUGUAGCGGUGAAAAGCGUAGAGAUGUGGAGGAACACCAGUGGCGAAGGCGACUCUUUGGCCUAUAACUGACGCUGAGGCG
RNAcentral lists this ribosomal RNA (655 nucleotides) under uncultured bacterium. RNAcentral describes it as "bacterial SSU rRNA". It matches the Rfam family "Bacterial small subunit ribosomal RNA", at positions 110 to 753 of the family's 1533-position model. The record is from RNAcentral.